GUGACCCCAGGAUGGGCGAGGCCACCCGCUGAGUUUAAGCAUAUCAAUAAGCGGAGGAGGAAAAACCUUACA
This 72-nucleotide ribosomal RNA is filed under the name Dendrobium huoshanense. Its description in RNAcentral is "partial 26S ribosomal RNA". Lineage: Eukaryota; Viridiplantae; Streptophyta; Magnoliopsida; Asparagales; Orchidaceae. The record is from RNAcentral.